UACAGAGGCCUCAAGCGUUGUUCGGAUUCAUUGGGCGUAAAGGGUGCGUAGGCGGCGCGGUAAGUCGGGUGUGAAAUUUCGGAGCUUAACUCCGAAACUGCAUUCGAUACUGCGGUGCUUGAGGACUGGAGAGGAGACUGGAAUUCAUGGUGUAGCAGUGAAAUGCGUAGAGAUCAUGAGGAAGACCAGUGGCGAAGGCGGGUCUCUGGACAGUUCCUGACACUGAGACACGAAGGCCAGGGGAGCAAACGGG
Molecule: ribosomal RNA, 253 nt
Filed under: uncultured bacterium
Lineage: Bacteria
Description: partial 16S ribosomal RNA
Rfam family: Bacterial small subunit ribosomal RNA
Source: RNAcentral